This 268-nucleotide ribosomal RNA is filed under the name uncultured Desulfovibrio sp. RNAcentral describes it as "partial 16S ribosomal RNA". It matches the Rfam family "Bacterial small subunit ribosomal RNA", at positions 1114 to 1382 of the family's 1533-position model. The record is from RNAcentral. Lineage: Bacteria; Pseudomonadati; Thermodesulfobacteriota; Desulfovibrionia; Desulfovibrionales; Desulfovibrionaceae.
GUUGCCAGCAUUCAGUUGGGCGACUCUAGAGGGACUGCCGGUGUCAAACCGGAGGAAGGUGGGGAUGACGUCAAGUCCUCAUGGCCUUUAUGUCUAGGGCUACACACGUACUACAAUGGCCGGUACAAAGGGCAGCCACUCAGCGAUGAGGCGCUAAUCCCAUAAAGCCGGUCUCAGUCCGGAUCGCAGUCUGCAACUCGACUGCGUGAAGUUGGAAUCGCUAGUAAUCGUAGAUCAGCAUGCUACGGUGAAUACGUUCCCGGGCCUU